ACCAUCUGAGUACUCUCAAUACCACCAACACCCCUUGUUCAGUAUUCUAUAAAUACUGUGUCUUUUAUAUUUAUAAUCUCAAUAUAUGUACCUAAUAAUAUCUUGUUUAAAUUUGGGUGAUUGGCUAAGGUGACUUAUUGUCUUUUGGUAUAUGUAGUUUGUGAGCACUUCAAGAGCUUGCUUAAAAGUAACAGUGGUAGUGUUAGUAUGUUGGCAGUGGGUGGCAUUGGAGGAAUGUAUCAGAAAUCAGUGCUUUAUUAAUUCUAGCAUGCAGUCCAUUUUAAGAAGCAUCAGCCUUUGAGAGUCGAGAAGAAAUAAUGCAUUAAAUGUACACAGUUCUAAAUUGUGAAGAAUCCUAAUUUACGGCAUUUUAUUAUCCUCCUCAUUAUCAGCUGAGAAUCACAAUUGGUUUUAAGUCUUUUUUUUCCAGUGUGGGUAGAAUGAUUCUGAGUGUCUUUUGGCAAAUAUCACUUAAAUAUCACAAUAACUUGCAAAUUUUAUAACUAUUAGCAUCUUUUCUAAAUAUAAGAUUAGAUUGUACAUGAUUUUCUAAUUUACUUUUUCCUUUCU
RNAcentral lists this long non-coding RNA (570 nucleotides) under Bos taurus (domestic cattle). RNAcentral's name for it is "long non-coding RNA NONBTAT021991". Lineage: Eukaryota; Metazoa; Chordata; Mammalia; Artiodactyla; Bovidae. The record is from RNAcentral.